CAGAGAUGGCAGCGGUUCUGAGGCAAGAGUACUGAAAUUUGCUUUAUAAUUUACUUGAUUAUCCAAGUUGUGCAUUUGAAGAAACACAUCCAUGUUUCCGUAGUGCUUAGUGCUAUGGGUGAAAGAAAUCUUAAAGUCAAGCAGAGAAGAAAAAAAUAAAACCCACGCAUACCUCAGAAAAGCCCAAUUCAACUCCUAACAUCACCCAACCACCCCAUCCCAGAAGAAUGAAACCAUGGAGCACAACAGGUAAUAUCAGUUUUCACACCUCUGCAUCCCCUUUUAGGAUGCUCCGGGAUAUUUUUCCUUGUGAAUUUCAGUGAACGAUUCUUUUCUAUAUUAAACUUGGUUUACU
RNAcentral lists this long non-coding RNA (355 nucleotides) under Homo sapiens (human). Its description in RNAcentral is "long non-coding RNA NONHSAT251943". Lineage: Eukaryota; Metazoa; Chordata; Mammalia; Primates; Hominidae. The record is from RNAcentral.